CGUUUGAUGUGUUUGGGAUUUUGAUUUUGCCAUUUGAUUAAGGACUUUCCGUUUUGAAAUUUCCUCGGAGUUCAGUAUUUUUGUGAUUUUACUAUUAAAUGUUUUCUGAGUAUUAUGAAGUUAAAGCCUUGAAAACUAAAACUGAUAAUGGCAAUUGUGUUUUACCUAGACCUUGCAUGCUCAUUUAUGUUAACGGUCUCUGAACAAUUAUGUGGUAAAGUGGAAACUACGGGGCGGAAGAAACGAGCUUUAUUGAUUCGUAUAACAUUAGGAUUAUUCUUCAAUAUUACUGCCUUUAUUACUGUCUGUGUAGUGAACAGAGAAAUAUUUAUAGAAGGGAAGACUGCUCUGGGAUUAUUCAUAUAUAUUGUCGUGUUUACUGUGAUAUCUUAUAUCGCUAUUGAAGUAGCAGUUUGGAUCAAUUGUCAUGUUGAUGACAUGGAUGAUAAUGAUAUUCUUAUUAGUAUGAUAUACUACAGACUAUAUGAAAUCGAAUUUGAUAUCCUUGUUUUUUUCUACACACUUGUUUUAUCAGACUGGAAAUUGACGGAGUUUACAACUGCUACAACUUGUCUAGCCAGUGUUGAUAUAGUUGUAAAUAUCAUUAUGCUUGGCAAGAAUUUUUAUGACGUUAAAGAUACUGAAUGUGGGUUUUGCUACCCCUUAUGUUUUGUCAUGAUUCCAAUUAUACCAAUAAUACAUAUCAUUAUGAAAAUACGACGACCCUAAUGUUAAAACAUAUGAUAAACUCAAAACUAGAGGCUCUAAACAGCCUGUGUCGCUCACCUUGGUCUUUGUGUAUAUCAAACAAAGGACACAGAUGGAUUAAUGACAAAAUUGUGUUUUGGUGAUGGUGAUGUGUUUGUAGAUCUUAUUUUACUGAACAUUCUUGCUGCUUAUAAUUAUCUCUAUCUAUAAUGAACUUGGCC
This 929-nucleotide long non-coding RNA is filed under the name Mytilus galloprovincialis (Mediterranean mussel). Lineage: Eukaryota; Metazoa; Mollusca; Bivalvia; Mytilida; Mytilidae. The record is from RNAcentral.